RNAcentral lists this ribosomal RNA (439 nucleotides) under uncultured bacterium. RNAcentral describes it as "partial 16S ribosomal RNA". It matches the Rfam family "Bacterial small subunit ribosomal RNA", at positions 339 to 795 of the family's 1533-position model. The record is from RNAcentral.
CUACGGGGCGCUCCAGUGGGGAAUCUUAGACAAUGGGCGCAAGCCUGAUCUAGCCAUGCCGCGUGAGUGACGAAGGCCUUAGGGUCGUAAAGCUCUUUCGCUGGGGAAGAUAAUGACGGUACCCAGUAAAGAAACCCCGGCUAACUCCGUGCCAGCAGCCGCGGUAAUACGGAGGGGGUUAGCGUUGUUCGGAAUUACUGGGCGUAAAGCGCGCGUAGGCGGAUCAGAAAGUUGGGGGUGAAAUCCCGGGGCUCAACCCCGGAACUGCCUUCAAAACUCCUGGUCUUGAGUUCGAGAGAGGUGAGUGGAAUUCCGAGUGUAGAGGUGAAAUUCGUAGAUAUUCGGAGGAACACCAGUGGCGAAGGCGGCUCACUGGCUCGAUACUGACGCUGAGGUGCGAAAGCGUGGGGAGCAAACAGGAUUAGAUACCCCGGUAGUC